Long non-coding RNA from Alosa alosa (allis shad), 311 nucleotides. RefSeq lists it as uncharacterized. The record is from RefSeq and is a predicted model, not a curated record. NCBI's taxonomy places the organism in Eukaryota, Metazoa, Chordata, Actinopteri, Clupeiformes, Clupeidae. The transcript has 3 exons.
CACAGUAUUUUGUAGUGGUAACGUGCACCUCACCAUUUGCUGUGAUCACUUUGUUGCAGUAGUUGUGCCUAUGCUUAUGUGUGUCUGUGUGAAUAGGCACCAGAGUCAAGAGCACGAGUGUUGUGUCGGCCUCACACUUCUCCCAGGACAGGUACAGUGGGUCACACAAACAAAACAUCUCCUGAUGCUAAAUGAAGCACAUGUGACUAUACAAAUAAGCCAUUUCAAGAAGACAUGCUACAGAGUGUGUUUAAUAAUGGCCUGGAAAUCAGGAGGAGCUAGCCAAGCAGAGCUCGUCAACAACCUUCGCA